Sphaerobolus stellatus SS14 is the source of this 106-nucleotide transfer RNA. It matches the Rfam family "tRNA". From Rfam's summary of the family: Transfer RNA (tRNA) molecules are approximately 80 nucleotides in length. NCBI's taxonomy places the organism in Eukaryota, Fungi, Basidiomycota, Agaricomycetes, Geastrales, Sphaerobolaceae. The record is from Rfam.
GCUCCUGUGGCGCAAUGGUAGCGCGUCAGACUUCUAACGCUUAAAUUGCGUAUGUAAUUGAGAUUAGGUUAUCUGAAGGUUCCGGGUUCGAGUCCCCGCAGGUGCA